RNAcentral lists this long non-coding RNA (101 nucleotides) under Mustela putorius furo (domestic ferret). RNAcentral's name for it is "lncRNA (ENSMPUG00000023894.1)". The record is from RNAcentral. Lineage: Eukaryota; Metazoa; Chordata; Mammalia; Carnivora; Mustelidae.
CGUGCCACUGGGACACUUAGCACCUCCAGACUUCAGCUUCCUCAACUCUAGAAUGAGAUCUGCAGUUUGGACGGCGCUUAGCAGGGAAAGCUCACUUCUCC